CAGUAGCCGCGGGAAUACGGAGGGUGCAAGCGUUAAUCGGAAUUACUGGGCGUAAAGCGUGCGCAGGCUGCUGUGUAAGACAGGUGUGAAAUCCCCGGGUUUAACCUGGGAACUGCGCUUGUGACUGCACAGCUAGAGUAUGGCAGAGGGGGGUGGAAUUCCACGUGUAGCAGUGAAAUGCGUAGAGAUGUGGAGGAACACCGAUGGCGAAGGCAGCCCCCUGGGCCAAUACUGACGCUCAUGCACGAAAGCGUGGGGAGCAAACAGGAUUAGAUACCCGCGUAGUCCCUGUCUCUUAUAC
RNAcentral lists this ribosomal RNA (301 nucleotides) under uncultured bacterium. Its description in RNAcentral is "partial 16S ribosomal RNA". It matches the Rfam family "Bacterial small subunit ribosomal RNA", at positions 509 to 807 of the family's 1533-position model. The record is from RNAcentral.